This 429-nucleotide ribosomal RNA is filed under the name Chloroflexota bacterium. Its description in RNAcentral is "Chloroflexi bacterium partial 16S ribosomal RNA". It matches the Rfam family "Bacterial small subunit ribosomal RNA", at positions 355 to 776 of the family's 1533-position model. Lineage: Bacteria; Bacillati; Chloroflexota. The record is from RNAcentral.
UGGGGAAUAUUGCACAAUGGGCGCAAGCCUGAUGCAGCCAUUCCGCGUGUGUGAAGAAGGCCUUCGGGUUGUAAAGCACUUUCAGCGGGGAGGAAGGCGAUAAGGUUAAUAACCUUGUCGAUUGACGUUACCCGCAGAAGAAGCACCGGCUAACUCCGUGCCCGCAGCCGCGGUAAUACGGAGGGUGCAAGCGUUAAUCGGAAUUACUGGGCGUAAAGCGCACGCAGGCGGUUGAUUGAGUCAGAUGUGAAAUCCCCGGGCUUAACCCGGGAAUUGCAUCUGAUACUGGUCAGCUAGAGUCUUGUAGAGGGGGGUAGAAUUCCAUGUGUAGCGGUGAAAUGCGUAGAGAUGUGGAGGAAUACCGGUGGCGAAGGCGGCCCCCUGGACAAAGACUGACGCUCAGGUGCGAAAGCGUGGGGAGCAAACAGG